UGGUCAAGUUGUUAAGAGCACAUGGUGGAUGUCUAGGCAUCAGGAGCCGAUGAAGGACGUGGGAGGCUGCGAUAAGCCUCGGGGAGCUGUCGAC
RNAcentral lists this ribosomal RNA (94 nucleotides) under Amycolatopsis lactamdurans. Its description in RNAcentral is "partial 23S ribosomal RNA". It matches the Rfam family "Bacterial large subunit ribosomal RNA", at positions 1 to 93 of the family's 2925-position model. The record is from RNAcentral. Lineage: Bacteria; Bacillati; Actinomycetota; Actinomycetes; Pseudonocardiales; Pseudonocardiaceae.